AUGGGGUGCAGCAGGCGCGAAACCUCCGCAAUGCGGGCAACCGCGACGGGGGGACCCCCAGUGCCGUGGCAUAGCCACGGCUUUUCCGGAGUGUAAAAAGCUCCGGGAAUAAGGGCUGGGCAAGGCCGGUGGCAGCCGCCGCGGUAAUACCGGCGGCCCAAGUGGUGGCCGCUAUUAUUGGGCCUAAAGCGUCCGUAGCCGGGCCCGUAAGUCCCUGGCGAAAUCCCACGGCUCAACCGUGGGGCUUGCUGGGGAUACUGCGGGCCUUGGGACCGGGAGAGGCCGGGGGUACCCCUGGGGUAGGGGUGAAAUCCUAUAAUCCCAGGGGGACCGCCAGUGGCGAAGGCGCCCGGCUGGAACGGGUCCGACGGUGAGGGACGAAGGCCAGGGGAGCGAACCGGAUUAGAUACCCGGGUAGUCCUGGCUGUAAAGGAUGCGGGCUAGGUGUCGGGCGAGCUUCGAGCUCGCCCGGUGCCGGAGGGAAGCCGUUAAGCCCGCCGCCUGGGGAGUACGGCCGCAAGGCUGAAACUUAAAGGAAUUGGCGGGGGAGCAC
This 553-nucleotide ribosomal RNA is filed under the name uncultured euryarchaeote. RNAcentral describes it as "bacterial SSU rRNA". It matches the Rfam family "Archaeal small subunit ribosomal RNA", at positions 325 to 879 of the family's 1478-position model. The record is from RNAcentral. Lineage: Archaea; Methanobacteriati; Methanobacteriota.